Scomber japonicus (chub mackerel) is the source of this 327-nucleotide long non-coding RNA. RefSeq lists it as uncharacterized. The record is from RefSeq and is a predicted model, not a curated record. The transcript has 3 exons. Lineage: Eukaryota; Metazoa; Chordata; Actinopteri; Scombriformes; Scombridae.
AAGCAAACCUAACUGAAGAGAGAGACCUGCUGAGUGUCAGCCUCAAUGAAACUACUAAAGAGCUACACCGGCUUCAGAAGCAGAACAGUGAUGUGAUCCGUGGUUUAACUGAAGAGAGAGACCUGCUGAAUGCCAACCUCACUGAAACUACUAAGGAGCUACACCAGCUUCAGAGUUUGUCUAAGCAGAGUAAAACUUGUCCUGCAGGAUGGAAGUUGUUCAGCUGUUCCUGUUAUCUCCUCUCCAGUAGCAGUGGUUCCUGGUCAACAGGCAGACAGGACUGCAGAGAGAGAGGAGCAGAUCUGGUGAUUAUAAACAGCCUUGAAG